This 254-nucleotide ribosomal RNA is filed under the name uncultured bacterium. RNAcentral describes it as "partial 16S ribosomal RNA". It matches the Rfam family "Bacterial small subunit ribosomal RNA", at positions 524 to 776 of the family's 1533-position model. The record is from RNAcentral.
UACGAAGGGGGCGAGCGUUGUUCGGAAUUACUGGGCGUAAAGGGCGCGCAGGCGGCCCUUGAAGUCAGGCGUGAAAGCCCCCGGGCUCAACCUGGGAGGUGCGCUUGAUACUCGAGGGCUUGAGUGCGGGAGAGGAGAGUGGAAUUCCCAGUGUAGAGGUGAAAUUCGUAGAUAUUGGGAAGAACACCGGUGGCGAAGGCGGCUCUCUGGACCGUAACUGACGCUGAUGCACGAAAGCUAGGGGAGCAAACAGG